This 366-nucleotide ribosomal RNA is filed under the name Triticum aestivum (bread wheat). RNAcentral describes it as "partial small subunit ribosomal RNA". Lineage: Eukaryota; Viridiplantae; Streptophyta; Magnoliopsida; Poales; Poaceae. The record is from RNAcentral.
AUGACGGCCAGACUCCGCCGCCACCCCCACUCUCCGGUGGUGCCGCCGUCGGACGACGACUUGCUCUCCGGAAUCCUCCUCCGCCUCCCACCUCAGCCCUUCUCCCUCCCGCGCGCCUCCCUGGUCUGCAAACGCUGGGGAGGCCUCGUCUCUGACCCCCGAUUCCUCCACCGCUUCCGCCGUCACCACCGCCGCAACCAUCCCAUCCUCGGUUCCUUCGUUGAGAAUGGGUUAUAUAUAUCCUUCGUACUAGCUCUUGACCCCCCCAUCGUGUUCCCGUCAGGCGAUUCUCUUUGCAGGGCGACGGCGGCGACGGCUACAGCCUCCUCAACUGCCGCCAUGGCCUCGUCCUCAUCUUCCUCCUAA